UAUUAGUCACACCUGUGCUUUUCUUUGUUUGACAAGCCAAAAUGUCUGCUUCAAAGACCAGAAUCUGUGAGGAAUGUUUCCAGCACCUUGUUGAAGCUUUGCCACAGAGAAUCAAGACCACUCUGAAGUCAGGAGGGGCCCCAACUUGCCACUAAUAAAAUAAGCUUGAUAACGUCAGUCCCUCGUAGCGUGAAAAGGUCAACCCGAAGUGAUCCCCUGUGGGAAGCCACUGUGGUUGUGCCUGUGCUGAGGUCAGCUGGAUGUGAAGAGGCUAAUCUGAACUUCAAUGUAUGUUAUUUUCUCCUGAUAAAGCU
Molecule: long non-coding RNA, 314 nt
Organism: Centropristis striata (black sea bass)
Lineage: Eukaryota; Metazoa; Chordata; Actinopteri; Perciformes; Serranidae
Exons: 3
Source: RefSeq, a predicted model, not a curated record